This 502-nucleotide ribosomal RNA is filed under the name uncultured bacterium. RNAcentral describes it as "bacterial SSU rRNA". It matches the Rfam family "Bacterial small subunit ribosomal RNA", at positions 10 to 507 of the family's 1533-position model. The record is from RNAcentral.
AGUUUGAUCAUGGCUCAGAUUGAACGCUGGCGGCAUGCCUUACACAUGCAAGUCGAACGGCAGCACGGGGGCAACCCUGGUGGCGAGUGGCGAACGGGUGAGUAACAUAUCGGAACAUACCCUAGAGUGGGGGAUAACGUAGCGAAAGUUACGCUAAUACCGCAUACGAUCUAAGGAUGAAAGUGGGGGAUCUUCGGACCUCAUGCUCAUGGAGUGGCCGAUAUCUGAUUAGCUAGUUGGUGAGGUAAAGGCUCACCAAGGCGACGAUCAGUAGCUGGUUUGAGAGAACGACCAGCCACACUGGAACUGAGACACGGUCCAGACUCCUACGGGAGGCAGCAGUGGGGAAUUUUGGACAAUGGGGGCAACCCUGAUCCAGCAAUGCCGCGUGAGUGAAGAAGGCCUUCGGGUUGUAAAGCUCUUUUGUCAGGGAAGAAACGGUGAGUUCUAAUACAGCUUGCUAAUGACGGUACUUGAAGAAUAAGCACCGGCUAACUACGUG